GGGGGCGAUCCGGAUUUCGACGUGGAUUACAAAACCUGAGGCGCAUGCCGAGGAUGCAGCUGGCCUCGUUAAACAUGCUGCAAUUCAUAGUUGCCAACGACGACAGCUACGCUCUAGCCGCUUAAAACCGGCUAGCCCCUGACCGAAACUUGCUUGUGAGGUUCGGAGCCUUUCGAGGCGCUCAGGGGUCGACUAACGCAAGCUCGCGCCAACCCUGUCCGGGGGAGCGGCGUCAAAACCUUACCGGAACCGCCGUUCGUCGCCCUGCCGGUCGGGUUGCGAAAGGCUAAAUCAAAGACCUGGCUACGCAUGUAGGGCCGAGGGCAGAGGAUUUGCGGACGGGGGUUCGAUUCCCCCCGCCUCCACCA
Molecule: transfer-messenger RNA, 368 nt
Filed under: Candidatus Competibacteraceae
Lineage: Bacteria; Pseudomonadati; Pseudomonadota; Gammaproteobacteria
Also listed under: 2 other names
Description: Contendobacter sp002352185 Standard tmRNA
Rfam family: transfer-messenger RNA
About the family: Bacterial tmRNA, also known as 10Sa RNA or SsrA, is named for its dual tRNA and mRNA-like properties.
Source: RNAcentral